GACGAACGCUGGCGGCGUGCUUAACACAUGCAAGUCGAACGGUGAAGCGAGUGCUUGCACUCGUGGAUCAGUGGCGAACGGGUGAGUAACACGUGAGUAACCUGCCCAUCACUCUGGGAUAAGCACUGGAAACGGUGUCUAAUACUGGAUACGACCAACCCUUGCAUGGGGUGUUGGUGGAAAGAUUUAUCGGUGAUGGAUGGACUCGCGGCCUAUCAGCUUGUUGGCGGGGUAAUGGCCCACCAAGGCGACGACGGGUAGCCGGCCUGAGAGGGUGACCGGCCACACUGGGACUGAGACAAGGCCCAGACUCCUACGGGAGGCAGCAGUGGGGAAUAUUGCACAAUGGGCGAAAGCCUGAUGCAGCGACGCCGCGUGAGGGAUGACGGCCUUCGGGUUGUAAACCUCUUUCAGCAGGGAAGAAGCGAAAGUGACGGUACCUGCAGAAGAAGCACCGGCUAACUACGUG
RNAcentral lists this ribosomal RNA (469 nucleotides) under uncultured bacterium. Its description in RNAcentral is "partial 16S ribosomal RNA". It matches the Rfam family "Bacterial small subunit ribosomal RNA", at positions 28 to 507 of the family's 1533-position model. The record is from RNAcentral.